UGACUGGAACUAUGCGGUUGCAACGCCCAAAUUUUGUCAGGACCGGAAGGUAGCAGCAAUACGGGAUGCUUGUAGCAGGCUUGGUCUCCGGUCGCCC
RNAcentral lists this signal recognition particle RNA (97 nucleotides) under Methylacidiphilales bacterium. RNAcentral describes it as "Candidatus Methylacidiphilales bacterium signal recognition particle sRNA small type". It matches the Rfam family "Bacterial small signal recognition particle RNA". Rfam says of the family: The signal recognition particle (SRP) is a universally conserved ribonucleoprotein involved in the co-translational targeting of proteins to membranes. The record is from RNAcentral. Lineage: Bacteria; Pseudomonadati; Verrucomicrobiota; Methylacidiphilae; Methylacidiphilales.